Molecule: non-coding RNA, 2578 nt
Organism: Peromyscus maniculatus bairdii (prairie deer mouse)
Lineage: Eukaryota; Metazoa; Chordata; Mammalia; Rodentia; Cricetidae
Source: RefSeq, a predicted model, not a curated record
CAUGCUUUAUCUUACCUGAUUUUCACCUUAAUUCCUUCUAUUUUAAAGGCGAAGUCUCAUGCUUAGGCCAGACUGGCCUAGAACUGGCAGCGGACAUCUUGCCUGUGUCCUCCUGAGUGCUGGGAGGUGUGAGCCACCAGCUAAUCUUCAUGAUUAAAAAAAUUCAUCUGUGUGGAACCCACAUGAAGGGCUCAGGACGAUUUUGUGGAAUUGGUUCUUUCCUUCCGCCUGCGUGUGGGUUUGGGGAUCGAACUUGGGUUGGGCUUGUGCAGCCACCCUGAGUCAUCUUGCCACCCUAAUCGUCACUAUUUUUAUCCCCGUUUCAUAGACACGCGGAUUCAGACUGUGUGUACACAAGGGUGGAAUUGGAAUCCAAAUCCAGGCGGUGGCUGCAGAGCUCACCCAGUUAACAACGCUCCAGCACCUUGGUCUCACCGGCUGCUAUGGGAGGGCUCAGGCACUGGCCUCCCCGACCCCGACCCUAACAAACUGCAGCAAUAACCGGGUCCAGGUGAGCUGGAUCAAGGAGACAAUCCUGGUGAACUGGAAUCUUUCUGACCACCAUGUGUCUCCACAACAUUUUCUCACAAGAACUGUGCGGGUAUGUGGCUGUGGAUUCAGAGGCCUGGGAAACGGUGCUUGAGCCAGAUCCUGAGCGCCAUCACCACAGAACAGCAGAAUGGAGCCAGAUGGAAGGACUUGGGGUCCAUCUUUGCCUCACUCAGAGAGCUAUGAAGGAUCACUCUAAAUGACACUUACCCUUGGCCAGGACGCUCUGCCAAGAGAUGCUCGGAAGGCCAUGGAUCGUUUGGGGCAUGACCACACCACCCCUUCCCAUCCCUAGGGUAUGAAGGCUUUGUUACCAGGCCACCGCAGCUGAGUAAAUACUUCUCAGUGCUACUCUGCAGAGGAGGGAAGGGAAGUGGGGGAGGAGGGGGGGCAUCUGACAGCUUCCCUCUCCGUGAACACUUGGUACCACAGUCACAGGAAGAUUGCUAACGUCUUAGGAGCUGUCAAGCAAAGCCUAGAAGAGAACAGUCUGUGUUCCUAAACGUUAUCUUCUUUGGCAGUACUGUUGUGUCAUAUUAUAAAUGGAGGGAGAUGAUAAUUAGUUUACUGAAAGAGAAAUGACCCUAUACAAGGAAUGAGAAGAAAUGGCUUCCAACGACACUUGUGGGUACAAUACUUGAGCCUUUAUUAACUCUGGCCUCUGCCAAGUCACUACUCCCCAGAGGACGUAUUCAAAGAGGAGCAGGAUGGCAAACUCUUUAUCUUUACAUUUUAUUAUGACUAAGCACAGCACCAAGUGAGAACUGUAGCUGGUCUAUUCCUGUUUGGCCAGUGGGGUUCUAGGCAAAGCAUUAAAUCCGACAAGGCAAUGAUCUUGGUGCAAUGUUUAGGAUGAGCAAGAGCGACUGCCCAGGAACUGUGUGUAUCAAAUACAAAUGUAAAGAGAGGUGGGCAUUUUCUUUUCUUUUUUUCAAAUUAUUUAUUUAUUUUUAUUUUAUUUGCAUGGGGUUUGCCUCCAGAUAUGUCUAUGUGAGGGUGUCAGAUCUUGGAGUUAUAGACAGUUGGUCAGCUGUCAUGUGGGUGCUGGGAAUUGAACCCGGGUCCUCUGGAAGGGCAGUCAGUGCUCUUAACUGCUGAGCAAUCUCUCCAGCAUUUUCAAUCAAAGAUUAUAUACACACAUCCUGGCAGUUUGGUCAGGUCUGUGGGCUAACUAUGGCCAUCUCUACACAACACUGGGGGCUGAAACAGACCUGAUCUGCCACAGAAGAUUCCCUUACACUAAGUCGGACCCUUGGGGUGCUGCUCUGUCUUCUGGCCCUCAGAUAGGACAGUGAAAAGUUGGGGGUUUAAGGCAGAGUACUGUUUUUGCUUCUCAAGACAAGAGUUUCACUGUGUAGCCCUUGCUGUCCUGGAACUCACUCUGUAGCCCAGGCUGGCCUUGAACUCAGAUCUGCCUGCCUCUGCCUCCCGAGUGCUGGUAUUAAAGGUGUGCACCACCGUGCCCAACAAUCUUACUUUACUUCUAAAGAGGACUGUUUUUCCUUUCAAACAAGCACCACAGAACCAAGGUGGAACAUUCCUCUGGGGCCAGCAGGUGCUGCUGAGUACUAAAACCCAUUCCUGCUCGGAAAUGAACAGAAAUGCUUCAACAGGCAAAGAGUUAACAUGGAGAACGAACUUCAGCCCCUUCUCAUGGUGACUGAAAAUGAGAGGAAAGGACUCUCCUCGAGAGCUGAUGUACCUGAACAAUUCACUCAGCCUUUGUAAAGGAGGGUGUGUAAACUUUUCUUACAUAGGGUUUUAUGGUCAGGAUGAAGGGUUCCAGGUCGUUUUCGGAAAGAAAAAGUCUAUUCUACUUCAGAGAUACAUCAUGAUACAGAGGCAAUGCCCCAGUGUGAGUUCUAUAAAGAACUGACUACGUUCCUCUGGUUACAACUUUGCCAGGUCUCAGUUUUCCACCCAUAAAAUAUUGGGGGCUGGAGAGAUGGAUCAGUGGUUAAGAGCACUGGCUGCUCUUCCAGGGGACCCGGUUCAAUUCCCAACAUCCACAUGGCAGUUCACAGCUGUC